RNAcentral lists this transfer RNA (65 nucleotides) under Dipodomys ordii (Ord's kangaroo rat). It matches the Rfam family "tRNA". Rfam says of the family: Transfer RNA (tRNA) molecules are approximately 80 nucleotides in length. The record is from Rfam by way of RNAcentral. Lineage: Eukaryota; Metazoa; Chordata; Mammalia; Rodentia; Heteromyidae.
GGUGACUUAGUGGUAGAGUGCUUGCCUUGCAUGCAAAAGGCCCUGGGUUCAAUUCCUCAGCACCA